RNAcentral lists this unclassified non-coding RNA (345 nucleotides) under uncultured fungus. RNAcentral describes it as "partial contains small subunit ribosomal RNA, internal transcribed spacer 1, and 5.8S ribosomal RNA". The stretch from base 1 to 73 matches the Rfam family "Eukaryotic small subunit ribosomal RNA", at positions 1759 to 1831 of the family's 1831-position model. The record is from RNAcentral. Lineage: Eukaryota; Fungi.
UCAAACUUGGUCAUUUAGAGGAAGUAAAAGUCGUAACAAGGUUUCCGUAGGUGAACCUGCGGAAGGAUCAUUACAGUGCCUGCGGGGGUCCCGCGUCUCAGGACGUGGGUACGUCCUCCGCAUCCGGCCACUCGUGUUUACCUCUACCUCUGUUGCCUUGGCGGGCCCGCCGCUCAGCGGCCGCCGGGGGUUCGGCGUACCCACGCCUCCCUGGCCAGCGCCCACCACAGGACACCUUCAAGAACCUUUGCGUAAGCAGUGAUGUCUGAGCUGUUUCUUUGCAGAAUACAGUUAAAAACUUUCAACAACGGAUCUCUUGGUUCCGGCAUCGAUGAAGAACGCAGC